RNAcentral lists this ribosomal RNA (468 nucleotides) under uncultured bacterium. RNAcentral's name for it is "partial 16S ribosomal RNA". It matches the Rfam family "Bacterial small subunit ribosomal RNA", at positions 28 to 507 of the family's 1533-position model. The record is from RNAcentral.
GACGAACGCUGGCGGCGUGCUUAACACAUGCAAGUCGAACGGAAAGGCCCUGCUUUUGUGGGGUGCUCGAGUGGCGAACGGGUGAGUAACACGUGAGUAACCUGCCCUUGACUUUGGGAUAACUUCAGGAAACUGGAGCUAAUACCGGAUAGGAGCUCCUGCUGCAUGGUGGGGGUUGGAAAGUUUCGGCGGUUGGGGAUGGACUCGCGGCUUAUCAGCUUGUUGGUGGGGUAGUGGCUUACCAAGGCUUUGACGGGUAGCCGGCCUGAGAGGGUGACCGGCCACAUUGGGACUGAGAUACGGCGCAGACUCCUACGGGAGGCAGCAGGGGGGAAUAUGGCACAAUGGGCGGAAGCCUGAUGCAGCAGCGCCGCGUGCGGGAUGACGGCCUUCGGGUUGUAAACCGCUUUCGCCUGUGACGAAGCGAGAGUGACGGUAAUGGGUAAAGAAGCACCGGCUAACUACGUG